This 74-nucleotide transfer RNA is filed under the name Arthrobacter sp. zg-Y1110. RNAcentral's name for it is "tRNA-Ile". It matches the Rfam family "tRNA". From Rfam's summary of the family: Transfer RNA (tRNA) molecules are approximately 80 nucleotides in length. Their secondary structure includes four short double-helical elements and three loops (D, anti-codon, and T loops). Lineage: Bacteria; Bacillati; Actinomycetota; Actinomycetes; Micrococcales; Micrococcaceae. The record is from RNAcentral.
GGCUGUUUAGCUCAGAAGGUUAGAGCGCCGCCCUGAUAAGGCGGAGGUCCGGGGUUCAACUCCCCGAGCAGCUA